Molecule: non-coding RNA, 363 nt
Organism: Linepithema humile (Argentine ant)
Lineage: Eukaryota; Metazoa; Arthropoda; Insecta; Hymenoptera; Formicidae
Source: RefSeq, a predicted model, not a curated record
UCAAGUAAGUAUAUCAACAAUUGCACAUAUAAAAAUCAGAAAAUUAUUUAAUAUAUGAAUUUUAUUUUGAUUUAUCUAGAUUCAAAUGAAUGUAAUAGCGAGAAUCUGGAUGUCCAAACUUUAAGUAAAACAGAUAUUACUGCACAAUAUGAUACUGCUGAUACAACAUACAAUACGAUACAGCUAGGCUUAACAGAAUCUCAAAAACGUGAAUCUACAAAUAUAUUACAAAGGACAAACAUAAAAUGUCGUAAACUGGAAGAUGAAAAUAAAAAACUGAAAGCAAUGAUCAGUUCCUUAACACAAGAUUAUGAAAAACAAUUAAACAAUCAAGCAGAUAUGUUUAAAACUUUUAUAGAAAAA